Pogoniulus pusillus (Red-fronted tinkerbird) is the source of this 843-nucleotide long non-coding RNA. RefSeq lists it as uncharacterized. The record is from RefSeq and is a predicted model, not a curated record. The transcript has 2 exons. NCBI's taxonomy places the organism in Eukaryota, Metazoa, Chordata, Aves, Piciformes, Lybiidae.
GAAGCCCUAAGUUUGCCCAACUGGGCAGAGGGAUCCUCCUCGGAUCAUCACCGCCAUCCAGGCUUCUUUACUGAAGCCAUAAAAAAAUACAAGUUAUGAAAAGCAAGAGAAAAAAGGCUAUUUCUUGGCAGAGGAACGUGUCUCUGUAUACAUUUGUGGACUGAGGAGCACAAGAGGGGACUUGAUCUUCAAUAUGUUUGUAGGAUGCAUCACACAAUGGAGACCUGAAUUGAGCCCUCCAGGCACAACUGUAAUGCAAAUAUUAAUUAACAUUAAUGGUCUGUGGCCUUGCCUGUCAGCUGGAAGCCAGCAGAACUGUGCAUGGUGGAGCAGUAUUAAUUUGUUAAAGCCCUGAAAACAAAGUCUGGUGGUAUGAUGAGCACAGCAGCUUUGCUUCCAUGUGCUUGCCCCACUUUGCUUCUGGGAAAGAAAUGACAACUGGCAUGAGAUGCUGAAGCUGUUUAAAAGAGCACUGAGGAUGCAGGUGGGUGACAAGCUCAUUGCUGAGCUCUGUACCUGCUGUAGGCUCCUCAAGUUGUCAACUCUGGUUCAUUGUACCAUGCACUUGAUGUUCUAGGAACACCAUCUGCAAAGGAUGGGUCACAACCCCAAAAGCCUCUCAGUGUGUCAAGCAGGUCUCUGCUAGCUGACAUCCCUCCCAGCCUAGGCCAUUCUAGGAUUCUUCUUCCAGCCAGGCACACAGCAAUCCAGACAAUGCCUCAAGUUCUUGCUUGUUCCCAUACUGUGGGCCCAACUCUCAACAUCAUCUCCCCCACUUUCCCUACCUCCUUCCUUCUCUGCAGCACCUCCAAUAAAGUAUUAAUUGCAUCUCAUCCAAUUAAA